ACUCCUACGGGAGGCUGCAGUCGAGGAUCUUGGACAAUGCGCGAAAGCGUGAUCCAGCGACGUCGCGUGCAGGAUGAAGGCCUUCGGGUUGUAAACUGCUGUCGUGAGGGAACAAUUGGCGGGAGGCUAACACCGUCUCGUCUUGAUAGUACCUCAGGAGGAAGACACGGCUAACUCUGUGCCAGCAGCCGCGGUAAUACAGAGGUGUCGAGCGUUGUUCGGAUUUACUGGGCGUAAAGGGUGCGUAGGCGGCUUUGUGUGUCGGACGUGAAAUCCCACUGCUUAACGGUGGAGCUGCAUCCGAAACUACAGGGCUUGAGUGCCGGAGGGGGAGAUGGAAUUCUCGGUGUAGCAGUGAAAUGCGUAGAUAUCGAGAGGAACACCAGUGGCGAAGGCGAUCUCCUGGACGGCAACUGACGCUGAGGCACGAAGGCUGGGGGAGCAAACAGGAUUAGAUACCCUGGUAGUCCCAGCAGUAAACGUUGUGCACUUGGUGUGGGAGGAGUUAUCCCCUCCCGUGCCGGAGUUAACGCGUUAAGU
Molecule: ribosomal RNA, 540 nt
Filed under: uncultured bacterium
Lineage: Bacteria
Description: bacterial SSU rRNA
Rfam family: Bacterial small subunit ribosomal RNA
Source: RNAcentral